AGAGUUUGAUCAUGGCUCAGGACGAACGCUGGCGGCGUGCCUAAUACAUGCAAGUCGAGCGGACAGAUGGGAGCUUGCUCCCUGAUGUUAGCGGCGGACGGGUGAGUAACACGUGGGUAACCUGCCUGUAAGACUGGGAUAACUCCGGGAAACCGGGGCUAAUACCGGAUGGUUGUUUGAACCGCAUGGUUCAAACAUAAAAGGUGGCUUCGGCUACCACUUACAGAUGGACCCGCGGCGCAUUAGCUAGUUGGUGAGGUAACGGCUCACCAAGGCAACGAUGCGUAGCCGACCUGAGAGGGUGAUCGGCCACACUGGGACUGAGACACGGCCCAGACUCCUACGGGAGGCAGCAGUAGGGAAUCUUCCGCAAUGGACGAAAGUCUGACGGAGCAACGCCGCGUGAGUGAUGAAGGUUUUCGGAUCGUAAAGCUCUGUUGUUAGGGAAGAACAAGUACCGUUCGAAUAGGGCGGUACCUUGACGGUACCUAACCAGAAAGCCACGGCUAACUACGUGCCAGCAGCCGCGGUA
Molecule: ribosomal RNA, 532 nt
Filed under: Bacillus subtilis
Lineage: Bacteria; Bacillati; Bacillota; Bacilli; Caryophanales; Bacillaceae
Description: bacterial SSU rRNA
Rfam family: Bacterial small subunit ribosomal RNA
Source: RNAcentral